GCCGCGAGGUGGCGCGCUGCCGCCCGCCCCGAGGUGGGCCGGGCGCGGUGCUGCUGCUCGGGUUGUGGGCUCAGUUGGGCGGGCGGGGUUGUGAGGUGUUCAGCCGGCCUGAGGGAGAAAGGGGGAUUUCCCAAGUUAACGCGCUUUUUAAGUGUGGAAGCACAGAAGUGAAGGGGCGUCACGAGGCGGUGUGAAGAGCUUGUGGAAGGGUUGAUCCAAAUCUCACUGUAUCCCUCUCCAAGAUGAUCGGGCCCAGUGCUGGCAGGACCUGCAGCAGACUGGGGGAUUGCAGCAUACAUAUGUGAGGACUUCCUGCACCAGGGGCACCCCAGGGGAGUGCAGAGACCCACUGGGAGCUGGCGGUUCUGGUGAGAAGAACUGAGAAGACUCCAGUGGGGCCAGGAGCAGUGGCCAUCGUUCUCUGCGUGUGCAGAAGACAGCCCCAGGGACUGUGGCGAUCGGCACAUAGCGGGUCUGAUAGAGCCAAACAACUUUUAUCUAAUUCUGCUCAUUCAAGCUGGAUCACAGAAGGCUUUAACAAGGAGACUGCAAAACAUUAAAAGGGACUUUACAUCUCUUGGAAGGAUGUAGAAGAGAUUGGGAGUGUAAGUAGUGUUGUCUUCUGUCCUUCUGAUGGAGGCUGGCACCUGGGAAGGAGGAGAACAGGACAAGCGAAUGAUUGGCUGUGUGGAUGGUGCUAUACAUGGGGCUGUGGCUUCCAUGAUCUUCGACAGGCCUUUGAGGUGCUGAGCAUGUUGACUUCAAAUGAGACACAACUGACUGGGUGGGACAAGAAUGUUCUGGGAAACAAGCUGUCUGGGCUGAUCAGCAGAACUUAAAACUAGAUUCGAUGGGGAAAGGAGGUGGAUUUCAAAAUGACAAAGGAAGACUGGCGAACGCUGUCACUUUAGAAGGCAGUGGAGAUGGACUUCAGAUUUGUCCCCAAGGAACUCAGGAGGGCUCCCUGAAGAAGCUAAUACUGCUGAUUGUCUGGAUGAUGUGCCUCUAUACCAGUGCCAGCAGCAUGGGAAAUAAUCAGGAGGAGCUGGAAGACAUGGCACAACGGAAAAACUUACCUAGUUGCUAUCAAGGAAAUGUGGAAUGAAUUGCACAGCUGGAGCACAGUGAUCAAGGCCUGCAAGCUUUUUAGGAGAAAUACAGGGGGAUGGAGGGGCAGGGGAGUUGCUCUCUGCGUUAAGAAGUGGAUAGAUUGAAAAGAGCUGCCUUUGAAAAACAGCCAUGAUCAGAUGGAGAGCUCGUGGGCAACAGCAGGAACUGGUCCAUUGAAGGCCAUCUGGUGAUUGGGGUCUACUACAGGUUGCCCCAUCAAGGGGAGCUUGAGCACAAGGCCUUCUUGCUACAAAAGGCUCUCAUCCUGAUGGGAGAUUUCAACCACUCAGAUGUCUGCUGGGGAAACAACAUGAUGGGCUGCAAGUGAUUCAGGAGACUCCUGAAGUGCAUGGAUGAAUAUCAGGGACUGGUCCAACAAAGGACAUCUGAUGUUAAGGGGUCUACUACAGGCUGUGUGAUCAAGGGUAGCCUGUGGAUAAGGCCUUCUUGCUUCAGAUACAGGAAGCAUUGUAUUCACAGGCUUUCAUCCUCAUGGGGAAUUUCAGCCAUCCAGAUGUCUGCUGGGAAAGAAGCACAGUGGGUUGCAGACAAUCCAGGAGACUCUUGAAGUGUGUUGAUGAUAACUUCCUGGUCCGGGUAUUAUACAAAUUGACCUGAGGGGAAGCGUUAAAAGAUCUGUUGCUCACCAGUGUAGAGGAGAUCAUUGAGGAGGUUAAGAUAGAAGGCAGUCUGGGCUAUAUUGACCAUGCCUUGGUUGAAUUUGUGAUCUUGAGGAAUAUGGGCCUGGAGAAAAGCAAACUCAGGGCCUGAACUUGAGGAGAGAGAACUUCUGGCAGUUUAAGGAAUUAUUAGAUGAGAUCCCUUGGAAAGCUGUUGGAGUAGAGCUGGCAGCUCUUUUAAGGACACGUUUUUGAAAUCACAAGAACUCAGUAUAGGAAAACAAAAAGAGAAAGCAGGAGACUGGUAGGGCUGAGCAAGGACCUACUGGUCAAACUAAGGGAAAACAGGAACUCUCUCUUGAACUGUCUUUCUUGAACAGGGGUGCCAAAAUCUGCACACAGUACUGCAGAAUUGGCCUCACCAGAGCAGAGUAGAGGGGGAGGAUCACCUCCCUUGACCUGCUCACCACACUCUUUUUAAAGCACCCCAGGAUACCGUUAGCCUUCUGUGUCACAAGGGCACACUGCUGGACUAUGAUCAAGCUGCUGUUCACCAGUACACUCACAUCCUUCUCUGCAGAGUUCCUUUCUAUCAGAUCAGCCCCUAAUCUGUACUAGUGUGUAGAGUUAUUUCUCCCCAUGUGUAGGACUCUACACUUGCCCUUGUUGAACCUCAUAAGGUUCCUUUCUGCACAACUGUCCAGCCUGUCCAGGUCUCACAGAAUAGCAACACAGCCUUCUGGUGUGUCAGCCACUCCUAGCUUUGUAUCACCAGCAAACUUGCUGAGGGUGCACUUUAUCCCUUCAUCUAUGUCCCUUAUGAAGAUGUUAAACAAGACCAGAUGCAGUUCUGACUCCCGGGGAACACUGUUAGCUACAGGUUUCCAACUAAGACUCUGUCACUGAUCACAACUCUCUGAGCUGUACCAGUAAGCCAGUUCUCAAUCCACCUCACUGUCCAUUCAUCUGUCCCACAGUUCCUAAGCUUACCUAUGAGGAUGUAGUGGAAGACAGCAUCAAAAGCCUCGAUGAUGUCAAAGUUGACAACAUCCGGUGUUCUCUGCUCAUCUAUCCAGCUGGUCAUGGCAUCAUAUAAGGCUACCAGACUGAUCAAGCAUAAUUUCCCCUUGGAGAAUCCAUGCUCACUACUCCCGAUGACUUUCUUCUCUUCCACUUAGAAAGGCUUGGAUUCCAUGCUUGAAGAUGACAUCCAGAGUAAGUUUUCCAACCUACAAGAUUCCAUGAUUCUGUUUCUUCAUGCUUGGACUAUGUUGCCAUCUGGGAUUUUCUGGUAAUUGCCAAGAAGUUGGGAAGGUUCCAUAGCACUGCGUUUUCAAAUUUGUCCUCGGUGAACUGUCUCAUAUGCAGUGAAUUUCAUGCAACAUCCAGUAUAACAUUAGGAACUCUUCUUUAGGACUGCUACAUGGAUAGCUAAAGUGGAACAACAACCUAUAUGGCACAUGAAAUGCCAGAGUUUGUGGAGGUGCUACAGAAGAGCACAGAGGAUUAAAGUAUCUUGUUGACACUGAUGAAAAAAUAGAGGCAAAAGGCUGGACAUGUUCAUAUUGUGAGCUAACAGCUUUCUUCCAGUCAUAUAGUGAACUCCCUUAUUUUGAGACAUCCUGACAUAUGAUUUUGAUCCCUAGGUCUACUCUGAGGCAGGGGAAAGAAAUUAUAGAAGUCACUUAAGAUAUGAAGGGAAGUGGAUUAGGGAUGGAAUGGUACAAAGCAGGGGAUAGAGAUCAGAUAUAUCUCAGACAGAAGAGACUUGCCUGUUUUAAGUCUGCUGCUGCUAGCAUCGUGUGUUGAAUGAGACUCAGCAAUAGCCAGUUGCAUCUUAGAUUUCGUCCAAGUAACAAUCUAGAGUAGCUUUUGAGUGAGGAGAGAUGAAGGGAUGAGAACAUAUAGGGAUAUGUCUGCUGGAAACUGAAAACUUGAUUCAGAAAUUCACUAUUUAAAAAUGGAAUGUUGUUUUAAAUUAGAAUUAUUUUUUAUUUGCGUGGUUGUAAAUUGUUCACAGUGCAAGCGGGGUCCUCUUCCUGGGAGUUGUAAGCCUAUUAAAAGAAGUGCAGGCUCUGCUAUUUCAGCUGCCUCUUGAGGAUCCCUUAGCAGUUUAAUUGUCCUCCUGUCCAAAAGCCCAUUUCCCAGCUUGAAGGUCCCUGAUGGCCAUCAGUCAAACCAGAAGACGUCGAUGACACUUGUAGGCAAGAAAAAAGUUUAGUUACAUGCCAUGUGCACUCUGUCCGGUAGGGGGAGAUGUUGCCAAACGGCAGGAGUAUUCAAACUGGAGGAAACUGGGUUUCAUGGACGAAAACAAUGAAUGCUCCAAGGAUCACCGAGGAGACGGCUCGCUGUGGUUUUGGGAUAGCCAAGAACAACUGAGCAGAGAGCGGCAUUUCUGGGAAGAGGCAUCAGGUGCCCAUGGAUUUCAGUUCAAUCAUGAUAGUAAACUGAUCCAUAGAGGCUUGCAGAAAAUUUCAGAAUUGUCAUUUGAGGAAGUGAGGAAAGAAGGGAGCUGUCUGUAUAAACUACAACAGAUACGAAGAGCUUGAUUCUCAAGAUAAUUCCUCUUCACUUGAUGAAUCCCAGGCAAGCCAAAAGGUUGGACAACCAAGAUGUCUGCGGUUCCUGUUUUCUGUAUAGGUCUACUCAUCCAUGCUAAACUUCAGAGAGAUCCCUCUAGUUUCUCCUGAUACCUUUGCAUUUCAUUCAGUAUGGCGUGUUGUAGAAGUGAGACUCAAACCCUGGCUUUCCUGUGCCCACAACAUUGUUACUGGAGGAGCUGGAUUCACUGAAUGGCAGAUGUCACCACAUGGACCUUCCCCACGUCACUCUCCAUCUACACCUCUGAACAUGAGAGGGGAGUGUAUCCCAUUUAGGCCACCUUCACUGGACCUGAAGUAAGGUGAGAGAGUCUGUGGGCUCUUCAUGCCCCUGCCAGAAACGUGCCUUCUAACUGGUCUCUUGAUGCCUCACCUGCAGCUGAGGCACCUGCCGCUGAGCACCUGGAGAUGCAUUCCGGCCAAGAGACUGAACACCCAAAACUAUCCAUUAGCAUUUUCCAUGAAGAGAUAAGCUCUGCUCUCUGUUGGAGUUUCACUGUAGUAGCUAGGGGUUUGGGAGACCUGGCUUUGUUUCUGGCUCUGUCAUUCAUCUUCUGCAUGGCCUUGGCAAGUCCUUUCUCUUUUCUGUGCCUGCCUUUGCCCACAUACUCCUCUUCUGAACUAAUGGCGGUACUGUGGCUGUUUGAAUCUGUGUUGUGUGAGUAAAUAAACAGUAACUGUAGAAAGGUUUGAUUUUUUUAAAAAGAUGCUGCUUGGCAAGAUCUAACGUUAACCGAAGAUGGAAAAGGUGUGGUAUCUUGAAGUUUUUCCACCUCUACUCUCUGCUUACCUUCAGUGGAAAGUUGAUUUUCAUCAGCUGAGGAACAGAAACGAGUCCCAGCCUGCUAGCACAACCACAGUGUUAGUUAGGAAUAGUCUGAAACACAUGCAGGGAGUGAAAAUAAACCCCAGCUUAUCUGUACACUGACUUUAGACAAUAAGAGUAGCUGUGGACCAGACAUCUACUGAAAGGUGUCCUGGAGCAGAAGGCAAAGUUUCCCUUCUAAACAGCUUACUUUUGCCAUCCAGGUCCUGGAAACACUCAGCUAUUUGUAAGCAUAGAAUUUUCUCUGCAAAACACUGAUGCUUUGGGGUAGGCUGAGUACUCUGCAUUGAAAUCCAGGAUACAAUGCAGUCAGUGGGUGGCCCCAGACAACUUUGAAUGGGCUUUGGAAUAGGGCCCAAGCAUAUCACAAAGAAAGGGAGAAGGAAGCUUUGCUUUAGCCAAAUCUCUGAGCAUGUGCUUCACCACUGAAAUUAGUAAGAAUUAAGCAUAUACUUAAGUAUUCUGCUGACACUUACCUUAACCACCGAGUAACAAAUACUGUCUUGCAGAGACUCUGCUUAAAAGAGAAAAAUGCCUUUUACGUGUCAAAGAGGGACAUAACAUUUAAAAUGGCAUUUCAAAUUUCUUUUAUUUUUUAGUGACAUAGCAAAAGCAGUAUUUGGCCCUGUGCUGCUUGGAACGAGGACAUUUCAAAUUAUUACCAACUGCAGCUUCUCUCUGCAUCAUUUUGCAUUAUGCAGUUUAAUGGCUGCCUGCUAGAAAGGCAUCUUCUCUGCUUCAGUCAUCUAACAGGAUUUUUGGCAUCCAGCUCAUCAGAUGGGUUAUUUUCUUUAACCAUAUUCCUGUAGGACUGCAUCUUUUAAGCAUCCUGCUGCGUUAUUUUGGCACAACCUUUAUAUCUCUUCAUCUUAUUGUUUCUGGAAUUCCUUUUCUCUUUGUAUCAAGUGAUGUUGCUGUGUGUGCUUUUUCUAACAAAUCUUGGUGGAAGAUCAGAAAAACAAACAAACAAAAAAGGCUAAUGUAUCCUAAGGAUUGAUAAUUUCAGGGUCAAAAGAGAUUUUAAGUGCUGAUCUUCUUGCACCCGCUGAUGAAUCUUUCCGACCAAGAAGCUGGUGUAUCGUAUCUAGCUGGCAGCACACAGAACACAUUAGGAAAACAAAGAGAAUGUGAGAUUAAGCCGAAAACAGGCAAGAGAGGCAUUUUCUCACUGUUCUGCAUGAAGGCAGAAGAUGCUUCAAGAGGAUACAACCUCGGUUUUCUUGUUGGAACUAUGGCCUCUUCCCCCCAUCAGAUUAUUCAAAGGCAACAUCACUGAAGUCAAGUGAGAACAGGACACUGCUGAAGUCUGCUGAGCCGUUCUGGUCUGGAAUAACCUGUCAACAGGAACACAGAGGGAAAAUCCUAAUGGCACUAAGUUACUCCUGACAAGUGGAUCAGCACCCACGGACAGCCACAUGCUGUGUUGCGAAGACCAGCUCUGGUGUCCCAAGAACAAGUGAGCUUGGCACAGCCUCGAGGAGCACUGUCAGCAGCUACAGCAAAGUGUUUGGAAACAAAGAGAUUCCACUCUACUCCUGAUUGUUCAAGUAAUGCAGAACGAUGAAGUAGGCAAACGGCAAGAGGUAAUACAAAUUUUGAAAUGCAUCAGAUGGGAAUGUAAGGACCUACCUAUGGUAAUUCGGGGAUGAACAGACUGCAUCUGGCACGAUACUAAGGGCUUUCGCAUUCCCUGUUCCACUUCAAGAUGAAACUCAUCCUCAUGAUUGAACAAUGGACAGUAAUGGAAAAAAAUCCUCAAUUUUUCAUCCUUUUCAGAGUGAAUUCUCCAGAAUGGAAAGGAGGAAAAAGCUUAUUUGAUUGACUGGAAAUUAAAAGCACUCAAUGAUCAGGAAAAUAUUUCUAAAAAUGUGGAUGUUAUUUUCAUGCAACAUGAGUUCUGAAUAUAUGGGCAGGCAAUUACCCAACCUAUUAUAGGCCACUGCAUAUUGGAUGGCAGCUACAGAACUCUUGGCUUCAAAUGUUUGGAUAGAACAGUACCUUAAUUCUUCUUCCCCUUUCUGUUAAUGGGAAGAACAGCAGCUGGGAGGAACAUUUGCUGUGGGCAGAGUGUAGACUGUAUUAAGGAUCAAACAUUUAAGCAGAACAUUUCAACAGGGAUGCAGAACCCAUUUAGAUUUCAGCUGUGAACAUGUUUAAUCUUGUUUAAAACUGAGCCUCCUAGAAUGCCUCUGCAAAAGCUGAGAAAUAGUAGAAAUUAAGUUUCCAUUUACCUCUGAAACAAAAGAUCAAAAAAGAUUUGUGUUCACAACUACUUGGUGUAAUUUUAGUACACGUAACUAUGGUGCUGUUCAACCCAGGAUUUAAAUGUGAGUCUCACAUCCUCCUAUGGAGAUGGAAUUCUGCCAGAUUGUCCAGAACUUUUACUAGACCAGUCACAAGCUCCUGCAGACUUCGAAACAAACAGCAAAGUAACAAACACGAAAUAUGAGUUAGAAUCAAAAUUCUGGAAAAAAGCAAAAGGAGAAUACCCUCCCUCUCCCCCACCCCCCCAUAAUGGUGAAGGUAGGAAUCCAAGUAAACAAGUGGAGCUGAACAUUCCAGCUGAAGCUGUAAUGAACCUAACCCCAAAAUCCUCAACAAAUGGAAUCCAGAUCUGCAUUAUUUCAAUAACUUUUUUUUUUUUCCAGAUGCUCUUCUAGUUCUCUUAACAAUAUCUCUCUUGAUAACGCAUUGCUUUUAUUCUCAAAAAGCACAGGGAAACACGACAUAAAAACAGAGCUGUACAUGAUUGAAUCAGUGGUCAAUGCAUCCUAGUAUCUGCCACUAUGACUAGUAGCAGACUACUCGAAAAAAUGAGUGUAAAUAUCGUGUACACUAGCACUUGUUUGGAUUGUAUUGCACCUUCCCUCAGUUUAAGAAUUUAUCUGUCUGGCAGUUGUAGCAGCAUUUUUGAGCUCAGUACUCCUCAUGGAUUUGACUGCCAUGAAUUGGUACCUACUGUUCUCUGGGUCCUAAAAUUUCACAGUUCAGGUAUGUAUUAUUUGCAUUCACUUGUUUUAAAUCAACCACCUGUUAAAUUGGUUUGAUGUCCAUGGUCCCUGUGUUUUGAGAAGCAAUAACAAAAUACUCUCUUUGCCUGCUCUGUCCUUCAGAAGCAGUAGUACUCAACAACCUCUUUUCUAAACUAGAGCAUUCCAGACUAUCUUGUCUCCCUGCUCAGUGGAGCCAGCCCGAGUUUUCAACCACCUUUGCCAUCCUAUUUGUUUCCUUUACUAGUUUUAUUAUCUGCUUUUCUAGGUGAGUGGAAACCGCAACCAAACAUAGCCUCAGAUUUCCACUGCCUGUGAAACAGCUGAGUUACUUACCAAUUUCUGAACUGAUCUUCUUUGGGUUGGGUACAAUCUAAGGGCUUUCUCACAGAUUAUUGUGUGAUAAAGCAACAGACAGAGCUGUGAAUUUCCACUGCCUGCAUGAGAAAAAUAGGUAGGUGCAGGACUUCUGUCAUUGUGCUUGUGGUGCAAGCUCAUGCUGCAGCAGUGACAAUAACUAAGUGGCUUGUCCUCUAUGACUAUCUACAACAAUAGUGUUAAUAUUUGUAUUAUAUUAAAUUAUAUUCUAUUGUAUUAUAUUAAAACAAAUAUAAUAUGAUAUCAAUAAUAUUGUUGUUAUUAUUAAUAAUAAUAAUAGUAACAGUUUUUAUACACUGCACUUUUACAAGAGGAAAUGUACACCUCCCUUUGCCCUUGCCACUAACAAAGAAGCUGCCUCCUCCUCACCAACGUCCAGAUGUCUCUGCAGCAAAACAGAGACAGAAAUAGAGAAACCUUCCUGAUGCAGGUAGCCAUCACAAGAGUAUCUUUUCACCAGACUCUGUGAAUCUGCUCUCCUAUCAAAGGUUUGUCUCAACCUGAAGGUGAGUGCUGACAACAAGGUAAGCCAUCAGCUGGUCAGACUCACAGUUUGCACCAGGCCUCCCUCUCCAGAGAAUAUUUAGGCAGGGAGGUGAACAUGCAGAAGAAUGUUUAAAUUAAAAAAAAAAAAAAAGUCCUUAAACCCAAAAGCUGAAGACAUCAUGAUGGGAACAAUAUUCCAAGUUUAUAGCUCAGAAUCAGUGUACAAAGAGAUCCAGAAACUCAGGCAUCUGUAAGAACUGUCAAGUCCUCUAACUGUCAGAAGAAAGGUCUAUUUUUCACUGCAACAGACAUACUGGGUACUUGCAGUCAGGUACACAAGGGGUACAGGUUUCCAUGACACCAAUACAAAGGUUCUCCAUGGAAGCUCGUGGCAGCAAAAUUAAAUGAAGCUGAUAAUUUACACUCUCUCACUUACAAAUGCAAUAUCAUCAGUGCUAGAUAAAUUAUUGAAAAAGUUGUCAAAUAAGUUGCCUUGUAGGUAUGAUCACCAUUGUGCUACUUGAACAGCAUUUGAACAGCCGUUCCUUCGGAGCUCUCUGAAAUGAUUGCUUGAGAGAAGUUUUAAUGUGACUCUUCUUCCACUAAAUAUUCUAUAACGAAUACACUUGGUGUAAUUCUGUCACUCACUUAGGAUUUUUGUGCUUUAAUUCUGCUCCCUUGUAAAUGAUAGGAGAAAACUCCUCUACUGAGUCAUGCAUGUUUUCAAGUCUAGGAGUUCAGAACAAUGUUUUCUGUUCAUUCCCAUUUUAAAAUUUUGGUAAACAAAGCAAAAACAAUUUUAAAAUAUUUUAGCUUAGCAAGUAGGCAGGGCUAAUCACUCAGUGGCAAACCUGAAUGGCAGCCAAAGCUAUCUAUAGGACACAGAGAUAAUUCUGGGGAGAUUCCUGUGCUGGGAUUAAAUGGAGUCAGUGAACCUAGAGAGACUCUAAGCACACGCAGCCCCUGUGUGCCCAUUUCUACUUCACAUGAUUUUGUGCUGCAUUUGGAGUGGUCUGGAGGGUGGGAGUUUAAAACAGGAGGCCCAAGGGUCUUUCCUGUUUUUCAGCUUCGAAUCCAUUAACAGUUGGUUAGGCUGUGGUACCUUUUUAGAGCCAUAAAAACUUCUAACACAUUCACUGGCAUUUUCAAUGCUGCUGUCAAGUGCUCACGUUUCUGAUCCAGAAGGCUAGGUACUAUUGAGCUUUUCAUUAACAAUGAGCCAAACCAAAAAAAAAAAAAUGAAGAUCUAAAAUACCUUUGAUUUCUGGGUGUACAAAGUACAGUUAUGAAAAUAUCAGUCCAGUCUGUUUUCUGUGUCGCAGUCAGAUCUGGCUGGGUUUGGUUUCCUGUUCUGUUUUUAAGUUGUAUCUGUUCAAAGCAGAACAUUUGUGAUCUCUGCAAAGGCACGAGAUGGUUUUUCAUGGCUGAAAAGCCUCCCAGACUUUGGUCUGUUAGAAUCCAAAGCCAGAUUCACAUCACAGCCCAACUAGACCUUGAAAUGUGAAUAUUAACCAAAAAGUAGUUCUGACCGAGAUGUCAAUUCUUAAGCUGUAAUACUCAGUGAAGAGCCAGGAAAUCAAACUGCUGAGAGCAAACAAUACCACCUUUAUGGCUCCACAAUCACCUAUCUCAGCCUAAGUCUGUUUGGUUUUCAGGAAGCUUGAUUAACGAGUAAAGUAAGGAUGUGAAUUCUUCUCUUGACUCUGGUGAGUGCCAGAAUGACUGGGCAUAUUAAUUAAUUUUCUUUAUGCCAGUGAAUACUUUUAUUCAUACAGAGUCAAACCACCGAUGGAUUGAAACUAAUCCUUUAGCCCAGCAGGGAAAGAACUCACCUAGGAUGCCUGACGUCUGACUUCAGCCACUGCUCACAGGAGGCUCUUCUACAACUCACACACUCUAAGUGACAACCAGUGUGGCACUGUUGGCUACUGUAUUAGAUGGAAAGUGGAGUCCCGUUUCUCAUUUCAAACACUGAGAAAGGUCUGCUGAAACUGUAGCUCCUUGCAGAGGUUUCAUAUCAAACAGGUCAGAGUUUUUUAAGGAGAAUUGUCCUUGGAGAACCACCCUUGAUCAGCUAUACUGUGUGUAUGCUGAGCCUCACAUUCCUGGCCCCUUUUGAGGUUUAUGAUUAGAUUAUUUGCUAAGAAUGGAGGGAAAAUGACAGUAUCCCAUUGCAGUGGGCCAUUUAUCUGACAUGAGAAAGUAGCUAUGUAAUAUCAGAUGUGUCAGUACUAACACAUACACCAGUAACUUUAACCUGAUAAAGAUGCUGGGCUGGAAAAUUAGGUUCUUCAUGCUCUCUAGAUCAAAAUUAAAAAGAUAAAUAAAUCCAGUCUCUCUCAGUGGGAACUGGUUCUCAAAGCUUCAGAGCCAGGUUUGCUUCAGAAGCUACACAGGUGAAAGCUUGCAGGCAGAUGCCAGAUACAAACAUGCAGGGACUGAUAGAUACCGGCACCCACAGUUUUUUAUUGAGGAGCCUAUGGUCAGGCAAUCCAAUUUGAAGACUGAGUAAAGAAAAGACCAGGUGCCUAACUUCUGAUAAUUUUUAUUAUUUAUUUAUUUAUUUAUUUAUUUGUGAGCAAGGAAGCUUUGAAGGUAGCAGCUCAAAGAAAAGAACAUGUAUUUUCAUGGACUUAGAUGAACAUAAGCCAAGGUAUGUACUACCAAGCAUGGAAGCACAUUCUUUGAGAUUCUGAGUUCAGACAUGUUCCUCAGGUGUGUUCUGAUUGUGUUUCAGGGCAUAAUACCACCUCCCCUUGCAGGCUCAUUGCCACAGAACAAGCCGGGUGUAUGAGUGGGGCAGCUUUGGCCAGCUUCAGCUAGCUUCCCUGUAAGCAACUGGAAUAUGAAGAUUUGAAUACAGUCAGAAAGGCUUCACUUUUUGCUUCUGACUGGAGAUGAACCAAGAAAACCUGAUCUGGGAAUUCCAGUCACAUGCAAUAAUGAUGGGACACAGCGAUAAAUUUCAGAUAGAUUCAUUUUCUAUGCUCCAGUACAUCUUUUCUGGGAAACUCCUACAUCAGUCUGUUUCACUUGUGCAGCUUGUUAUUUCUUUACUGAACCAUUGGCAUGGACUUCCCAGGCUUCCUAAGAAGCCCGUGGCAGUUGUUAUUUUUCAGUGUAUUAUUUUUUUUAGCAUUUUCAAAGGAAAAAUGAAUGUUUAAAAUGUAGGGAGGGAGCAUUUGGAAAGAAGGACUGUCAGUGGUGUAGCCUGGCUCAGUAGUCAGCUUAUCUUCAGAGCUGAGGCCGUGUUAGAGAUUCAGCUAAAUGAUGGCAGGUGAGCCCAGGUGUGCCACAGACCCAUGGUCACAGUGUCUGCAGCACAGGCAUACUGAGGGAGCAUGCACACUAACGCUGCUGUAACUAUUGUGAAAGUAAGGGGGAAUCACAGUUUUUGAAUUGCCACAGCUCACUGUCUUCUCUAAGAAAAAUCAAUACAAGGAGGUUUCUAGAAGGGCCUUGUCUGAGGAUGUGCUUUCCCAUGUAUGACAGCAAAAGGAAAAUUCUUGUGAAAACAAGUUCUUAGCAAGGCAUUAAUAGCAAUCCCCUCCUCUCCCACGUGGUCAGCUGUUUUGAAUCGCCAUUACCCAGGAGCCAUCACACAGAGCUGAACAACACAGUGCACAUACAUCACCAGGACUUGUCCUGGUGAAAGAUGAGGUGAGCCCAGGCCGUGGCCACACCCUGCUGGAAGCCCAUGCGGCCCACCUAAGUAAAGAGGCAUUUUCUCCCAGAUGAGGCCUUGCUGAACUCUGCCUGCCAAGCAUCCUGUGGGAAGCAGACUAUGACAAGGUUUUGGUUUUAGAAAUACUGUGAUUAGUAAGACACAUUUUGAAACUGCAUCGUCAUUUAGUUGUGUGUGUCUGUGUACCAGCUGGCGUUUCUUAAAAUCAGUUUAUCCUCUUUUCCCCUCUGAGAUACUCACAAACCUGCAGGAGGGCGGUUGUUCACAUAUAUUCACCUGCCAUCCCCAGUCUGUCCUUACCUAGGACGACCGCUCUCUGGUUCAGAAGCCUCCAGCACUUACCAUAAAUAUGUAUAAUACUGCGAACCCAUUCUGUGGGCCUUAUUCACAUGCCUAGAGGACUCCUGGUGCACAUAGGUUGUGUGACAGUCUGGGGAUUUCUUGUUUACCUUGCCUGUUACCAGUACAGCAAGAGCAGUUUGCAUAACAGCUUCUCCUCUUCCAUCUCGAGUUUCCUGAAGCUUCUCCCCAAAAUGUUGUUCCUGGCAUUGACCCUAAUCCCACAUGUCACUGCACCUACUGAAACCACUGGAGCUCUGCAAAGCUAGGUCUUCCAUUUCACUGAAGAGGGAGACUCCGUAUGCCAGGCUUAUCUCUACUGAAAGGCUUGGUUUAAUCAGGAUAUGCAAGCUGCACCCCAAAAAACCACAGGGUCUGACACCACCUUGAAUUUUCCAUAAAGGUGGAGAAUGGAGGAUCUCACCCAGCUCUCCUGGCCCGUGGUAGAGCUCACGUGUCUUAGAAGUAAUUUGACUGAAGUCAUUCCUCUUUCAGUUUUUUCAUCAAAAUAUCAGAGCCCAUGAUCCUGACUAUGGAUCAACUGGAAAGAAAGAAAGUUAAGUUCCCUAAGUUUCCCCUGGAUAAGAAAGGAAAUGAAAGCACAGUGACUAACAAACUGAUCUCACUUGGAAAUACCUGCAGUAUCUUCACCCAUGCCUUUCCAGCUGAUCGCAUGGCUGGCAACAGAUCAAAUGAUUCACCAGGAGAUAGGUCUGCAGCUGUCACACCCAGGCUCUUGGUAGGCAGUAGGAUACCAGUGGCAGACACUGAUAAGCCAGGCCUGAGGCAGUGUCAGGGCUCGUUCUGGAGAUGGCAGAGAAGUCGGCAGGGCAGUAUACUUCCUCUGCAUGGAGCCUAGCAUUACAGGUCCAGGGAGGAUAUGGCCUGGCAUGUUUUUGAACUUGUCACUUUCACAGUUAUUGUAAAAGACCAAAAUUCUAGAAACCAACUGAUCUUCCCACCCCUGAUUAUGCCUUAUCAUUGUGCCUAGGAGCAGAAGAUACCACAGAUGGUACUGGAAAGAUACAAACUGAACCUGUCAGCGGGGAAGAGACUGUGUUCAUCUAACUUCAGCUGCCUUCAAGUUGCACGUCUCCCAUCAGCCAUUUCCUGGGCUCCCCCUCCAGUCAAUGGAGUGACUCCAGAGCAUGAUUCACCACAUCCUAAGAAUAGAGCCGGAGAUCAGUAAAGCGGGAGGCCCAAAGCCAGCAACAGUGUAAAGUGCUGCUGUUGGGUGCUGGACAGGCUAGUGUGGUGUACCAUUCUGCCACGCAAACCAGCCACACGUUUCCCUUCACAUGGGUCACGUAAUGUUGACUUUUAGUGUCAUUCUUCCACCCAACGCCCUGUGGAGAAACCUGCUGAAGUUCUCAAGUUUCUUGACAGGUGGAGAAGGAUUAAUCCAGCAACCUUCACAAAACAUUUGUUUUACACCAAGCACAACAUUUGUGGGAAAAUAAGGUAAACUGUGUAAGGAAAUAAACAUUCAUAGA
Gallus gallus (chicken) is the source of this 14530-nucleotide RNA transcript. RefSeq lists it as uncharacterized. The transcript is spliced from 11 exons. Lineage: Eukaryota; Metazoa; Chordata; Aves; Galliformes; Phasianidae. The record is from RefSeq and is a predicted model, not a curated record.